This 415-nucleotide unclassified non-coding RNA is filed under the name Hevea brasiliensis (rubber tree). The record is from RNAcentral. Lineage: Eukaryota; Viridiplantae; Streptophyta; Magnoliopsida; Malpighiales; Euphorbiaceae.
UUUUUUUUUUUUUUUUCCUUUUUUGCAUCCUUAAGAGAGGCACUCAUCCUUCUCAAGUUCAAUUUCUUUUCCCUAAAAGUUAGUAAAAUGAAUGUAUUCCAAUCUGAUUAUCCUUUCUAAAUGAAUACAGAUAUACAUAAUUUCUAGAAUAAAACUUUAUUCUGGUAAGGUGCAUGGUGUUUCUGAAAAAGAAAACCCACACAGUGAAGAAAUGAAGAAGCACAAAUUACUUUCAUCUUUAAGUGUGGAAGAUUUGGCCAACCACUACAUAAUUUCCACACAAACAACCAUGUACAUUACAGAUUGAGGCAGGAUAUUUGUACGAAGACUGUAUAAGCAAGUGCAGAUGUAAACAAAUGCAUAUAAUAAUAACAAUGAUAUGUACACGCUACCUGCUAAGCCUAGAGUAGUUAGA